Long non-coding RNA from Gopherus flavomarginatus (Mexican gopher tortoise), 658 nucleotides. RefSeq lists it as uncharacterized. The transcript has 2 exons. NCBI's taxonomy places the organism in Eukaryota, Metazoa, Chordata, Testudines, Testudinidae. The record is from RefSeq and is a predicted model, not a curated record.
AGAUAAUGUAGGAGCACUCCAUGCUUAGCUGUCCUAUGUACCUUUGUCAUAGACUUUAAGGCCAGAAAGGACCAUCAUGAUCAUCUAAUCCAGCACAUUGCAGGCCACAGGGCCUCACCCACCUACUCCUUGUUAAGAUAAGUUCCUGUCUGCAUCCUAAAAGACUUGCCCAUACCGGUAUUGCCCUGGCCUCUUCCUUUGUCAGUCAGUGUUAAAGGCAUUCUGAACUAUAUGCAUUUCCUCACCUUUUGGGGGCGAAGCCAGACUUUCAGGCACCUGCUCCCCUACUUGGUGUAAACUUUGCUUGUAUCAAUCAGAAACGAACACAAACAGUUUUUGGGCCCCGUCCCCUAUGACACUUCUGUGAUGUCAUAGUGGGUAUUUUAGGCUGCCUCUCUCAGCUCACAUGUUUUAAGCAGAGUUUCUACGUUUGCCGGUCGUUAUGAGUUGGUUUGUAUUCGUAAGUAUUGGUUAUUACUAAAUGCUGCAUCUGUGUUUAUAAAUAUUGUUUACUGCAUCUUUGUUUAUAAAUAUUGUUUAAUAGUAAAUACUUUAGCCAUUGUAUGUUUUAAGUUCCAUUAACCCUAUUAGCUAAUCAUACGCUGCUUCCCUACCCCUUGUAACUAUCCCCAAUAAAACUUUUAAUUAAUUAAUUUUA